AAGGAUUUAAGUUAAAAAAACUAAUAGCCUUCAAAGCUGUAAAUAAAGUAUGAGUCUUUAAGCCUUA
This 67-nucleotide transfer RNA is filed under the name Dryops luridus. Its description in RNAcentral is "tRNA-Trp". It matches the Rfam family "tRNA". From Rfam's summary of the family: Transfer RNA (tRNA) molecules are approximately 80 nucleotides in length. The record is from RNAcentral. RNAcentral also lists the same sequence under 1 other name. Lineage: Eukaryota; Metazoa; Arthropoda; Insecta; Coleoptera; Dryopidae.